GAAAAAAAUGAAUACAAUGAAAUAGAAUAAAAUGAAAUAAUGGAAGUAAAAUAGAAUUUGAAAAUUUUAUGAAAAUAAAAAAUAUAGUAGAAAAAGAUUAAAGAAAAAUAUUAUAAUAAAAGUUGAAAAUAAAAAUAUGUGCACAUAUGUUCAAUAAAUUCUGUAUUCAAGAAAGAAGCAAAAAAUUCAAUAAAUUCUGUAUUCAAGAAAAAGAAAAGCAAAAAAGAAAAAAAAAGAAAAUUGAAUAGAUGGAUCAGUGAACAGACUGAAAUACGAUUGAAAUUAUACCGUUUUCCCCUAGAAGUCAAACUAUGAAGCACUUUGCACUUUAUAGUCUGUAAACUAAGCAGGAGGAGAGACUUGUGUUCCUGAAGAGCAAGGUUGGCCCAGUUGGGCGGGGCUUAGUGUAACAGCUCCAUUCUCCACUAGAUGGCGCUGCUUAGUUUACUGGGGUGGAUUGUUGUGGUGCUUGUAGGUGCAUAUGCGCCUGCGGGGGAGGGGUGAAAAUGAUGUUACGCAGCUACCCAGUCUCUAGUAUCAGAACUCUGUUGUCCCCAAUCGUGCACCCGUCCUUUGUCUCCGGCUGCCACCUACUCCCCACUUUUACACUGUCUGUGACCAAGCCCCAGGAAGCACCUCCCUCCUGAGCUUUAUCUCAGGAUAAAGCUGGGAUGUCUGUGUUUCCCGAUCCCUCACUUCUGAGGGACUGCGGCUUUGACCUGUUCUGUCCCUCUGUGGGAGGGUCUCACUGAGCAAUGGCCUGCCGGCCACACCCAGGAACGUUUGUAGGUCUGUGCUGUUGCCGAUGCAGAGACUGCGGCUGGGUGCCAGCCCACCCCAGAAAAAGUUCACGCGAUCCUGUAGCAGCAGCGUUUCAGGGAUUAUGGCAAAUCACAACACACAUCUGGCACCAGGCUUCACUCUUAACGUUCUUGCUCCAACACCAGUGGAUGUGGCCUUUCUCCGGUGUCUUUUGAGACCUUUGCCCAUGGAGAGGUCACACCGUCUCUACCAGAUGUCCUUCCAGCAGGGGAACCGCCUGUCCCGUGUGGCCUGAAGACCCCUGGACUUCACUCUGCUCCUGGGGAUUUGCCCUUCCCACCAGAGCACUGCCAGGGGAGGAAAGCAAAGGGAAAGGCAGUAAGUAUGUGUCCAGCCGGUCUCCUGGAGAGCACAUGACAGAAACCCACCUGAAACGAGAUUAGGAGCGAGGCGAAGAGGACUAACCUGCUCAUGUAACCCAAACUGCAAGGAGAACACAGAGUGGCUGGAACAGACAGAGCUCUCCAGCUCUUCUUUCCGCUUCUCUCCAGAAGUCAGUUCCAUUCUGGUCCACAGCACCCUAGUUCCUUCCACAAGGCUGCUGGAACAACGGCUGCUACUGGACCUGGGCCCCAAAUGUUUCCAGCUUCAGGAAUAGGAUCUGUUGGAGCAACUCUCACAGAGAAGCCGUCUUUCUGCCAGUUCUCUUCAGUUAGUUGCCAGGGAAACCUCAAGAGUUUCUACAAUCCAUCACUUUGGCAAGGAGAAUAGAGAUGGUUGAACUGCACAUGGCCCUUGAGGUUGCCACCUGGAAGAGACACGUGUCACUUCUACUCACUGUUCCCUGGGCAAUGCAAGACACAUGGUCACAGGCCUGGCCUAUGUAACACUCCCGGUGCCUUCAGGACACUUGGGAUGGAGCCCCGACUUGGACCCUACCUCCUUGCUGUUGCCAGAACCCGUUGGAAUUAGAGGACAGGAGACCUCCUGUGAUUUAUAUUCUGGAGUUGUGGGAUGAUGGACUGAGCCAGACAGCUCGUCACCUCUGGACAAGAUGAGCGGGGUCAUGGCAGCUGCCCUGGAAAUGAAAGAGGAGGCAGGGUGCUUUGCUGCCUUGGAAGCUCUCCUUUGUUCCCGAGCAUCAGGGGUGCUGUCGCAUGUGGCCUCUGGGAGGCCAGGCAGGAAGAGCAGAGCCUGUGCCCAAUAGCUGAAGGGCAGGGCUGAUGAACAGCUCAUCUUAUUGAUUGCUGGCCUCUCCGACCAUCAGCGGACCCAGGCCCACUGCUGGCUGCCUGCCAUUGAGCCACAAAGGCAGCAGCUCCACGGAUUUUCCACGAAUUCCCCCUUCUGGGUCCUUUUCAGUGGCCAGGUGGACUUGGCCUCUUGAACAUCCUGUUUGCUCCAACUUGUCCACCUGAUGCAAGUGCACGUUAGGUGACUGUGUAAACAGAGUGGUGCCCAAGAACCCCCAGGACUCCAGAAAGGAACUGGUGUGGGCCCACACGAAACCAGAAAGUGGACCCAAGGGCCAAGGAAUGCCCAUGAUGAGAGAGCAGGACUGUGGCCCAGACCAGGGCUGCUGCUGGUCUAUGCAGUGCCUUUGUGUGAAGUAGAAAAAAAUGUACCCCUUCUUUUUGGAGACGGAACCUGGAGCAGCUGUUUUUGGGUUGGAAAGUGAAGCCUGGACUGGAUUUUGGCUCCUACUUCAGCAGGGGCCAACCUGCAUUGCCACAUGCAGAAUGUAAUCAGGACUAGGAGCUUAUGUGAAGCUAGUUGAAGCCAGAACAAUGUUUAAAUCUCUCCCUAUCAAGGAAUUUGGCGAAUAGAUAUACACCUGGCUACAUGGAGAGCAACUUGUUGUGUACAUAAGGCUUGGAAAGAAAAUCAUGUAGAAUUGAAGAGAACAAGAGCCGUGUAAGGAAAGCAGUGUGCUUGGUGACAGGAACUUGGAAUGAGACUGGUGUAAAGAACCUGGCCGUGGUGUCAGACAGAGAAGAUUUGAAUCCCGUUGUGGUCACUUAUAAGCAGUAUGAUUCCCUGGGUUUUCUUCUGCGUCAAAUGCAAGUGAUAAUUGGAUAUGUUUCAUAAGGCGAUUGUGAAGGCUAGAUAGGAUAAUGGAGGUAAGUGCUCAUACAGUGCAUUGGGUUUAAUUUGUUAGUGAAUGCUAGUUGUUAUUUUAUGAGAAAUCUUAAUAUAUUUCUAGACACCGACUUAAACAGAAAGAAAGGCAAAUUGAAUGAUCUGUAAGGUUCUUUAUUGCUCUAAGUUUUCAUACUUCUCAUUUGAAACACAAAGUUUAAGUAGGUUUUUUGUGACAGAAAUAUAUUUGUAGAUUAAGAUGGGGCCUGAAUGUUGUGCCAAAACUGUAGAGUUUUGAGAAUAUGAUUUCCUUGGGGAAUAAAAGGGGAUUAUUUCUGUCUAUUUAUAAUCUGAACUGGUCCUUUCUUGGCGAUGUGAGGGAACAUGCAAAGUUUUAUAUUUAAGAAAUUUGGGAAACUGGUUGGUUAGGCAUUGGUCAAUACCAUCACUUUUGUCUAAUAGCUGCCUUUUGUUCUCUAUAAAAAUAAGGAGAUGGGGUCAUUUAUGCACUUAGGAGCAACGGGAAAAUUUGUUCGAUGUUAUAUGUUUAGAGCAGUCCUAAAUCUUGCGUUUCCUGAAGCUUUUGAUGUGUGGAGGAUUUGAAUGGUCAUUCUCUGGAUUCAAGAAAAUUUAUAAUAUCUCUUAUAUAUCCAGCAACAGAUGUAUAAAAGUUUCCGGGGAGGGAAAUGGUUCUUUCAAAAUGACUUUUGGAUGAUACAUGUGUAAGCAAAUAAGACAGAUAUCGAUUAAAUGUCCUUCCAACACAAAACAAAUUGACCAGACGUGCAAAGGUUUUUGCCAAACCCCAGCAUUUGAUAUCCCCCAAAGACAUUUGGUUGCUGAUUUCUGGCUGAGGCUUGAAAGGUGGAAAUUUUGCUUGGAAAUGGUUUAGUAGAGCAAGAGGUAAGGCAGAAAGGCAAAGUGUCAGCGCUGAGGCACGAAGAAGCUUCCAAUCCUUUUCUUUAUAUCUGUGUAGAUAAUAUGCAAAGAAAAAAAAAAGAAAGAAAACAAAAAGGUGAACUUGGAAAAAUUCCAAGUCAUAUGUGCUGAUUUCCCUCAAUUCUGGGGAAACUACAUGAAUGCUUUAAGAUCUAAAUGCUUUAAGACCAAAGGCAGGGACCAUUCAGAUUGUUCAGAGGAACUUGAGAGGGAGCCCUGACCUCCUGUAAAUGGAAUGAUUCCAACAAUGAAUUUCAUGGGGUUUAUAUAAUGAGCAUCCAUCUCUGUCUGUAACAUUGUGUCAUUUUUGUUUGAUUGUAUGAACCAUGGGUGUCCCCUAUAAGAGAUGCUUCAGUUCACCUGAGAGUGAUACUUUUUUCAAACUCUUUUGCUUACUUGUAUUAAGUUGAAGAAUUCCUACACACUGGUGGCCGCUCCCUUGUAUUACACUGCUGGGGUUCCUAUGAGCUGUGCCAAAUGUUUGAGCAUCCUGUCCAAGCAUUCAUGGGCCUUAGUGACCAAACCCCAGGCUUGACCACAGAAUGGUUGGAGAAAGGGAACUGCUUCUCAAAGGUGGUGGUGAUGAUUGGGCAUGCCACCAUAAGAUUGGUCUUGGCUGGAACUGAAAUAGCACUUGAUUUUGGAAUGAGUAUUUGUGAAUCUUUGAAGCCUGGGUAAUUUAGGGGGAACAUGUUGUAAGUGUGAGGCUCGAUAUCACCUGAUUGGAUAAAUAUUCAUUAUUACCUUUAAGUUAUAUUUAUUUUUAGCCACAUUGUUGAAGCCUCUGUUGGCCAGCAGCAGCCAGCUUGGUAACAGAUGGCCUAAGAACUUCAGGAGUGACUCCUGAGAUAUCUGCUGUAAUCUGUUUUAGCUUGACCAGUGGUGGCACUUUGAGGGUUGGGAAUCCAAGUAUACAAGGUAUUUUUUUCUACUUUUCUUGGACAAAGGCCAUGUUAAAAUUCUCUGGAGACAAAGCCAGCUCUUACACUGUCUCCAACAGAGUUGUCAGUUCAUACAAGCCAAUAGCAUUUGGAGAACAUGGUAGUGUUAAUCCUGAUGGACUCUUCUUAAAGCAUCUUGGGUCAGGUGUCCCUGGUAUUGUGUUGCUCAUGAGGUCCUUGAUUCCUAGUUCUGAUGUUGGGCCAAACCUCCCUGAUACCUAUUAAUUUGGAGGAUAUAAACAUUUUGUUCUCACGAAUUGGCUGCUGAGUAAUUGCCAACUUGUAUCUUUCCCAGUCUCUGGUAAACAUAUUCAUUGGUUGACCCAAUCUGAGCAUGAUUGAGAAAUAGGUGGGUUUCCCCUCAACGAUAGGAAAACUGUCCUCAUACUAAACUAGUGUGCUGAUCUUCGAUGAAGUGGAGGGAAACCCCUUGCCUUGGUAUGAAUUAGUAGUUCUGGCCACCCAAACGACCAUGCUGUGCUGAGUUCUUUCCAACUUGAUCUUACCAGAUCACAUGGUUACAGUACAAGGUGAGCAGACACUGAAACAGAGGAGAGCACAGUGCAUAGAGAAAACUCUUCUCUCAUUCCAAAGACAACUUUCUUGAGCCAGGCUAAUGCUUUUUUUUUUUUUUUCAUUAUUUAUCUUGGCAAAGCCUGAAUAGUUCUGUGAUGAGGGACCCAAAACCUAGAACAAGAAUCAAGGAAACUUUCUCUUAUCUCCACUGUUAUUUUUCAGUGGGGCUUUAAUGUCCAUGAUAGGAUGAUAUGCUUGUGCUGAGUUCUGAUGCAGGAAGCAGACUGCACCAAGGAUUUGCAGAUAGAUCAAAGAGGGGGAGAUGAAUGAAUGUUGCCCAGGGAACAAAUUUUCAAAAAGAAGACUCCUUAAGAAUUUCUCCUUGUUGUCUUCAUGUUAAUGAUGAAGAAGCUUCCCAGAGAAAGAUGAUUUAGAGCUUUUUUUUUUCUCAGUAUAAUAGAGCAGGACAUGAUUUGGUGGUUGUGGGGUAGGUAUAUGUAGCCUAGCUACUUGCCAAACCUCUAUAUCCACUGUUCUUUUCUAUUUCACCCUCCCCUCCCUUCACUGAUCUGUUUUCCAGUUUGUAAAUUGAAUAGCAAACAAUCCAAAAGGGCAGAGGGUUGUGAGAGACACAAGCCCUCAUAUGACACCUAAAUUACUGAUCAGAAACGACAUUUCAAGAACAGUGUAAUCCUUUGUAAAGCUGGCUUCAAAGGUCAAAGCUAAAACACAUUGUACGCUAGCCACGUGACAUCGGGCCAUCAUAUCUCACGAUUGAGCACAAUUCACAUGCAAUCUUCUCCAAAUAUUUGAUGACUAGAAUGUCUGAUUUUAUCAUACUCAUAAAACACAACAUGGUGCUUAGGAUGUCUAGGAACUAGAGAGGCUGACUUGGAGUCCUGGCUCCAUCGCUUACCAGCAGUGUGAUCUGGGCUGAGUUACCUCAUUUUACUCUCUGUAAGACGAAGGCAAUCUUUCUAACUUCAUGUGCAAUAGGCACUGUUGUGGGGAAGUUCUUUGAUAGUGUGCUGAGCACUUAGUGUGCUAAACAUAGAGUCAAUGUUAAUUUAUGUUAUACAAUACAGAAUAAUUACUGAACAUCUACUGUAUAGAAGACCUUGUGUCAGGCACAAAACUGACCUCUGAGGUGUCAAAGUCUGUCUUGAAAAAAAAAAGUAAGACUUUUGUUGUCACUGUUGACCUUCUCGGCUAGUAAAACAGAACACCAGAUAAAAGUCCUUUAAUAUUUAUAACAAAUUCAAGCUACGUGUGUGAAGGAAGAGAGUUCUAUGUGAGCAAUUUCUCCAACAUCUGUGGAAGUUUUGACUUCCUUGACUAUUCCUUGGAUGCCCUUCUACAUGACUAAUUUUGGUAUCAAAAUUACUGUUUAUUUUUGGUAGCGUGAAGUUCCACACCUAACUUCCAUCCAAAGGUACAUCUGUCUCUCUCUUUGUGUCCGUCUGUUCUUUUCUUAGUAGUGCUUGCAUUAAGAUGAUGCUUUUUGCCAAAUUGGAUUUGUAAUAGAUGAUGCAGUGAGAGAUGGGGCACAAAACAAAAUUAGGCUCAUUUUUGGUGCAUUCAAGUGCUAGCUACUGCCCCAAAUGGUAAAUUACAAAAAUGAUCAUGGUACCCUGAAGAGUUGAUGGAUUUCUUUCCUCAAAUUGCUAGAUAGUUACAUGAGUGAGGGUGAUUUUCCUAGUGUUAAAACUGUUUCCUGGGGGUAAUUUUAGGCACCUUGGGUAGCUGCAUUAACUACUUUUGGCCACUAGACAGCCAUUGCUAAGUGGGCCCUUAAGUGUUCACAUGACUCUUAAGUGGUGCCCCAGUAAGAAUAAUUAGCAAAGGUCUUUAUGGUGAUGAAGACCUAGCAAGCUCUACUGGAAGAAAUGUUCUAUAUAAUUCCCUUCAAAAUGAAACUUUCCAAAAGAUAAAACUCACAAGUAAGGAAUGGCUUGAUAUUGCUGCUUAUCUUUAUAACCCCCUGCUAGAAAAUCAGGCUUUAUGGAUUUCAGUGACAUUUCAUGAGCAUUAUCAUUUUGGCUAUUCACAGCAAUAGUGUUAAAUAGGGAAAGGGGUUAGGAUGUUGCUUCGCAAGAAGAAGGCUGCAGGACUUUAUAGAAAAAGUGGCAAAAUUAGAAUCAAGAAGACCUGAGGUCUGGUGGGGUUUGGCAUGUGGCCUUAAACAGUUCAUUGUUUGUACAACAAGGAGAUUAGAUGGAGAGGAUGGAGAUUAGAUUAGAUC
Acinonyx jubatus (cheetah) is the source of this 7479-nucleotide long non-coding RNA. RefSeq lists it as uncharacterized. Lineage: Eukaryota; Metazoa; Chordata; Mammalia; Carnivora; Felidae. The transcript is spliced from 10 exons. The record is from RefSeq and is a predicted model, not a curated record.